This 1404-nucleotide long non-coding RNA is filed under the name Homo sapiens (human). RNAcentral's name for it is "HSALNT0029357". Lineage: Eukaryota; Metazoa; Chordata; Mammalia; Primates; Hominidae. The record is from RNAcentral.
UUUCAGGGUUGAGUUUGUGCAUCGAUUGUGAACACAACAGGCAGCAGGCUAUAAUGGUGGUCCUGGCUGGAGUAGUUUUCACAGACUUCAGUAAUCUGUGGAGAUGAACGGGCAGUUCUCUGUAGUUUUCACAGAUCACUGCCAGUUCGUUUUGAGGCCUUCAGGAGUGAAGACCUGGCUCAUCAUCACUCUUUGUUGUUUUGUUAAAUUUAUUUACACCCUACUUUAUUCCAGAGGAAAGGAUUUAACGUAGUUUACAUAAAUGUGUACAUCAGGGUAAAUUAAAAAUAAGUACAGAGAAAAAUAGGACAAAAGAAAACCGUGAGUGUGAAAGAUAAGAUUAAGCCAGCAGUUUUGUAUGCAAAAUGCAUGGUGUAAGGUCCUAUUGGUUUGCUGGAGAUAAUGUCUGUGCCUAUCAGAUAAAGGCAAACCAGUGCUCAGAGGAACCCAACCAUCUCUGAAUUGAGACCAGAGAGCUGUCUCUAUGGAUAGUCCUUAGAGAAGGCAUUUCGGAACACAGUAAACAGCAGCCUGGUGACUCCGAUUACAGGGCCAGUUGCCUUUGUUACAAUAAAAGCAAGUCAUCUACACAGAUUUUUCCUACCAGGAAGAGCAUGUGCUGACCAACAGACAUGAAUUUCAGCCUGGUAGUUACAACAUUCACAGGAGUUUCACUCGUUGCCCAGGCUGGAGUGCAACGGCGCGAUCUCAGCUCACUGCAACCUCCGCCUCCCCAGUUCAAGCGAUUCUCCUGCCUCAGCCUCCUGAGUCACUGGAAUUACGGGCGCCUGACACCACGCCCAGCUAAUUUUUUGUAUUUUUAGUAGACAUGGGGUUUCACUAUGUUGGCCAGGCUGGUCUCGAACUCCUGACCUCAUGAUCCUCCUGCCUCAGCCUCCCAAAGCACUGGGAUUACAGGUGUGAGCCACUGUGCCUGGUCCAUUAAAAACAUUUGUAAAGCUAUGGUGUUGAUAAAGUAUUAUGAAAGACUGCAAAAAAAGAUGGCUAAUUUUUAGUUAUUAUUGCACAUGUUUAGAGGAGCUAAUGACAUUUUCUAUGAUUAAUAAAAGACAUUAUUUAUGUUUUUAUUUAUGUAUUCCACAACAUUUAUUUUAUUUUCUCCAUUUCAGGAAAACCACUAUGUUGUUACAAUAAAGAUUUUCAUGUAAUUUGUGUUCAAUUGAUAGUAAUAAUGUAACAAGUUAAAAAUGAAGGUAAUUGUGUUUAAAAUUUGAGCAUAUUUUCAUCAAAAUGUAAGUUAAAGUGAUUGUAAAUUUUAAGAUCAUAAUUACUUUGUAUAUCUUCAAGAAAAUUAUUGUUUUAAAAUAUUUAUGCCUAUUAAAAUUAGAAGGCAAAAUAAAAAUAUAUGAAUACCAACAUUUUAAAUAAAAAUCAUUUAAAUAA